GGGGAAUUUUCCGCAAUGGGCGAAAGCCUGACGGAGCAAGACCGCGUGGGGGAAGAAGGCUCUUGGGUUGUCAACCCCUUUUCUCAGGGAAGAAGUUCUGACGGUACCUGAGGAAUAAGCAUCGGCUAACUCCGUGCCAGCAGCCGCGGUAAGACGGAGGAUGCAAGCGUUAUCCGGAAUUAUUGGGCGUAAAGCGUCCGUAGGUGGCUUUUCAAGUCGGCGGUCAAAGACCGGGGCUUAACUCCGGAAAGGCCGUGGAAACUGAAAGGCUAGAGAAAGGUAGGGGUAGGGGGAAUUCCCGGUGUAGCGGUGAAACGCGUAGAGAUCGGGAAGAACACCGGUGGCGAAAGCGCCCUACUGGACCUUAUCUGACACUGAGGGACGAAAGCUAGGGGAGCGAAAGGGAUUAGAUACCCCAGUAGUC
This 424-nucleotide ribosomal RNA is filed under the name uncultured cyanobacterium. Its description in RNAcentral is "bacterial SSU rRNA". It matches the Rfam family "Bacterial small subunit ribosomal RNA", at positions 356 to 795 of the family's 1533-position model. Lineage: Bacteria; Bacillati; Cyanobacteriota. The record is from RNAcentral.